UCGCACAAGACACAGUGCGGCGCGGCUGC
Molecule: small RNA, 29 nt
Filed under: Bombyx mori (domestic silkworm)
Lineage: Eukaryota; Metazoa; Arthropoda; Insecta; Lepidoptera; Bombycidae
Description: ovarian small RNA-3421
Source: RNAcentral